AACAUAAUAGUUGGAUUCUCUGAUAUAGAAUCUAGGGGCUUCCCUUAUGUUA
This 52-nucleotide transfer RNA is filed under the name Hygrobates longiporus. Its description in RNAcentral is "tRNA-Ile". Lineage: Eukaryota; Metazoa; Arthropoda; Arachnida; Trombidiformes; Hygrobatidae. The record is from RNAcentral.